CUGAAAGGCAGGAGUGCCCGCAAGGGAGCGCGGAGACAGGUGGUGCAUGGCUGUCGUCAGCUCGUGUCGUGAGAUGUUGGGUUAAGUCCCGCAACGAGCGCAACCCUCACCCCUUGUUGCUACCAGGUAAAGCUGGGCACUCUAGGGGAACUGCCCCGGUCAACGGGGAGGAAGGCGGGGAUGACGUCAAGUCAUCAUGCCCCUUACGUCCUGGGCUGCACACGUGCUACAAUGGCCGGCACAAAGGGAUGCCACACCGCGAGGUAGAGCUAAACCCAAAAAGCCGGUCUAAGUUCAGAUUGGAGUCUGCAACUCGAUUCCAUGAAGGAGGAAUCGCUAGUAAUCGCGUAUCAGCACGACGCGGUGAAUACGUUCCCGGGCCUUGUACACACCGCCCGUCACACCACGAAAGCCAG
This 416-nucleotide ribosomal RNA is filed under the name uncultured bacterium. Its description in RNAcentral is "bacterial SSU rRNA". It matches the Rfam family "Bacterial small subunit ribosomal RNA", at positions 1001 to 1414 of the family's 1533-position model. The record is from RNAcentral.